CGACCUCGCGAGAGCAAGCGGACCUCAUAAAGUAUGUCGUAGUCCGGAUUGGAGUCUGCAACUCGACUCCAUGAAGUCGGAAUCGCUAGUAAUCGUAGAUCAGAAUGCUACGGUGAAUACGUUCCCGGGCCUUGUACACACCGCCCGUCACACCAUGGGAGUGGGUUGCAAAAGAAGUAGGUAGCUUAACCUUCGGGAGGGCGCUUACCACUUUGUGAUUCAUGACUGGGGUGAAGUCGUAACAAGGUAACCGUAGGGGAACCUGCGGUUGGAUCACCUCCUUACCUUAAAGAA
RNAcentral lists this ribosomal RNA (294 nucleotides) under Klebsiella pneumoniae. RNAcentral describes it as "partial 16S ribosomal RNA". It matches the Rfam family "Bacterial small subunit ribosomal RNA", at positions 1250 to 1533 of the family's 1533-position model. The record is from RNAcentral. Lineage: Bacteria; Pseudomonadati; Pseudomonadota; Gammaproteobacteria; Enterobacterales; Enterobacteriaceae.